AUAAUUCUUGCUAUAACGGUUGCGGUUUAAUUCGUAGAUUAUAGGUGAAAUAUUUGUGGCUGGUGCUACAUAUAAAUCGAUGGAGUUUGUUGGCACAACCAUUGAGAGAUUAAAUAUGGAAGAACGGAUGACAUUAUGUAAUAUGGUUAUUGAAGCUGGUGGAAAGAACGGUGUCGUUUCUGUUGAUA
Molecule: long non-coding RNA, 188 nt
Organism: Hibiscus syriacus
Lineage: Eukaryota; Viridiplantae; Streptophyta; Magnoliopsida; Malvales; Malvaceae
Exons: 2
Source: RefSeq, a predicted model, not a curated record